UUGUAGAGUAGUCCAAGUACUCCAUUUGUUAUUUUUGCUUCAUGUUGAAAGGAUCGCUCUAAGACCGUGAAUUCGAGCUCCAAAGUUUCUAACAAAACCGAGACUGUAACUGAAUCAAACGAUUCAGUUUCGUCAGACCUCUCGGCAGAGUCAUUUGCUCCACUUUGGGUUCGAUUUUAACUGCCCAAACUCACUUUAUCUUGCCCAACUUCCACUGAUCUUAGUUCAACAUACAACAAAGGUUCCAUUUUGCACACAAGAACCCAUCUCUUACACAUUGGAUUUUUCUAAAAUUGGCUCCAAACAUUGCUAAUCAAUGCUGUUUUUCAGACUUAGGAUUAUUUCAGCGAGAAGCCUCAAAUCUGCUCAUUUGCUGAUUUUGGGCUUCAUUUUAAAUUCAAACCUUCCACUUUCUGUGGCCAACAUCAUUUCACUUUCCUUCUCCAUAG
This 449-nucleotide long non-coding RNA is filed under the name Setaria viridis. Its description in RNAcentral is "long non-coding RNA (SVIR_LNC009359)". The record is from RNAcentral. Lineage: Eukaryota; Viridiplantae; Streptophyta; Magnoliopsida; Poales; Poaceae.